AGCACCGCACUGCCAAGUGCUCUCUCCCUGUAAUGACAAUAUUGCCCACAGCUCUUUCCUUCAAAGGAGCAGAGAAAUUAGUGGGCCAUAUAGUGUUCUGCUCGAGUCCGUAGUUUCUGCUUUUUAAAAUGUGUUUAGGGAGAAGAUUUGUCAUUUGCAGAAAGGAACAAAGAAGUCAAGGGCACAUUUAGAUUUUCCAUAGUAAUUAGAUGCUUGUUCCCAGGGAAGCAUUUGGGUUUUUAAUCAAAUCUCCAAAGUUUUGGUCUCCUGGAUUAAACAAUUCCCCUUCUCCCUGACCUGGCCCUGCUUUUGUUUCAUUAUGUAGAUCUGACCUUUACCUCACAAAGGUGUUGGCACUGAGAAGAUGCAAUGAAAACUUUCUCCUCUACCCAAGGGUUGAAUUCAAGAUGGCUCCCAUGAAGAGGCACCCCAUUACCAGGGCUAGCUCUUGGCCUUGCAUGUUCUAGACUGGCUGUCCUGGGAUACUGAUGCUCACAAAUGCUGUCUCAGGGGCUUCCUUAUUCACUGCUGAAUCAAAAAUCUUGGCUGUCCUUCCUGGAGGGCCCUUGAAUCCC
Molecule: long non-coding RNA, 575 nt
Filed under: Ursus maritimus (polar bear)
Lineage: Eukaryota; Metazoa; Chordata; Mammalia; Carnivora; Ursidae
Description: lncRNA (ENSUMAG00000019045.1)
Source: RNAcentral